GGAGUCACCAGUCGGCGCGCGCAAUCCGCUCUUACUUCGGAGCAGAGGAGUUCGCAGCCUAGAGUGACACCUUCCCGCCCUCUUUUGCCGGAAGUGACGCAAAGGGAGACCGGGGCGUCUCAAAGGCUGACAGGAUGGUUGUUGGUGAAACCCUUGUAGAGGUGGUGAGAGGCAGGAUGGUUUUGUGGAAAGGACACUGACCCUGAGGUCAGAGGAUCUGCUUCUGUUCCUCUGUGGGACUUUGGAACCAGCUGUAGCAGGUGGUUUCUUUCCUUGUCCUCUUACUCCCCCAAUUGGCACAAAAGGAAGGGAUUGCUACAAAAGGAAGACUUCAAUACUCCAAGGAAUGUUUCCCAUCUAUAUCCUACCUGACAGAAAAAUCAGUGUUGAGAGGACACAUGGAUUAUUAAGAGAUGACUUAUUGGGAAACUUUUCUGUCUUUCCUGUCCUCCUGGUGGCAGUUACUGAAAACUCCAGCCAUCAAACCAUGGAGAAAAUAUCCUCUCAGGGAGUAGCCUUGUAGACUUGGUACCAUACCAUAGAAUCCAAGGGGAAGACAAGGUUUGAGUCCCUGAAAAGUUUGGUGAGAGUUUGGCAGGUUGAAGGAGGGUAAGCAGCUCUCAUAGUUAGGCCCAGGGAGUUUGGGAAAGUGAGAGCAGAGAUGGGGUGCUGUUUAGGCAGAGGUGUAUAUACUCUAGACUGGGGUCUGGCUAGGUCUAAGGAUAAUCUUGCAAUAAUGAUUACUGAUCCUUUCUGUUCCUCUGGUCAAAGGACUGUGAAAUUUAGAUUACUCCACCCUACUUAGAUCUUACCUUCUGGAGAAGAUGAAAUUGUAAUCUCCUGAUUGAACAAUGAAGCAGAGAGUUGGCUGGGCGUUGGAAGGUGUGCUGGGCCUUUUGGCAUCUUGGCAUGGCUACAGCUAUUGUCUGGUUCAGUGAAAGCACCUCACAGCUCAAUGCAGCUCAGGAGAAGAGAGUGGGUGAGAAUGGAAGGAUCGGAGAAUGAAUUCAGCAUCCUGCAAUCAGGAGGACCUUCCAAGGGUGAGCCAGAGAAGGUCUGGGGAACAGACACAUCUAGGGAUGGGUGGUUUAUGUGUCCAGAAAUACUGGAAGGGUCCAGGGCAUCCUAUUGAUUUCCUGCUACAGAGGAAUUCCUGGCUGAAAUCUCCAUCUGACUGAUACAAAUGAGCAUGUUCAUUUUCUCUUGGCUUCCUGAGGGAUCAUUAUAACCUUGAUUCUCCUCUUCUCCAACUUCAAAUGCAGCACACAAACCCCUGUAACUAGCUAGCUAAACUGCCCGAGACUCUUCCUCCUGACCUUCUCUUCCCAACCCUUUCCCAGGCUCCUUAAGAGUAUUCUCUCCUCAGAAUGCCAUAGACCAUGGGCCAAGUAGAAGAGGGAGCCCACUAUUCACUACAGAGAAGCAUUUGGGUUCUAGUCUCACCUUUUAUAGGUGGGCACUAACUGUAGGUCACUUCCCUCUGGGCCUCAGUUUUCCCAUGAUGGGCAUGUAGUAAACCCUUCCAGCUCUAAAAUAAAUCCUAGGUUACUAAAUAAAAUGCAAUUUCUGGUCAGUCUUGGAAAGCCUGGCAAAAAGAAAGGCUAAACAUUUGGCUGUCUUUGGAGCCAAGGGCUCUUCUACAGAGACCCGAAUCCUAGCCUUCAGAUUCAUCUAUAGACUUCUGAAGACAAAAUCCAUUCCCAUAACUGCAGACCUUUGAGGCUGCAGUGGAAUGCCUACAAGCUAUCUGGCUGCUAACCUUUGUGGCAGGAGGUAAUUUGCCCAGUCCUAGCCAUUCCUUAAAUCCAGGCUCCAUCAUUUACGGGUCCUGGUUUAGCCAGUUAGCAUCAGCCUCUUGCACUCUCUGAUUCCUGCCCCUCUGAACCAACCAUAUGUAAUUAGUUCCUUGAAUCAGUUUAUUCCCCCCCCCCCCAAGCUUGGGAGUGGGAGUGGGGCAUUAAUUUUACUUCCUUUUCUCCAGAAACACCUUCAGUCCCAGGUAGCUUCAGUUUGCUAGCCUAGGAUAUUUGGCAUACCCAAACUUCUGGCUAGACCCUGAGACAAAGAGAAGGAAGAGGUUUGUUUUGUUUGGCUCCCAAGGCCAGAAGCAAGGACAAUGCAAAUUGUAAAGAAGAAAAUUCAAGCUUGGCAUGCCAAAAAUAUAACAAUAAGGGCUAUCUAACAGUGGACUGAGCCUCCUGGGGAAAUAGUGAGUUCCCCUUCAUGAGAGGCAUUCAAGCAAAGGUUAAAUUAUGUAGAAGGGAUUCUUGUUCAGGUCCAAGUUGGACUAAAUGGCCUCUGGGAUCCUUCCAACUCUUCAAUUCUAAGGAGACAUAAAAGGGGGCACAGGCCAGCAGCCCCACCUCUCACAGUCCCACACAUCUACUAAAAGCCACCUGGACCUCAACUCCAGGGCAUAAGUACAACAGCAGCCAAUCAGGACACCAAAGGAAUUCCUUGGAUAAUCCCUGGGGACCAUCUUCAGGACUGGAAAGUAGAAGAAGCUACUGGAAACUGAGCACAGGAAGCCUGGUGAAACUCACUACUCACUCAUUCAUUCAUACAUUCAUUCAUUCAAAUUUCUUAAGAA
This is a non-coding RNA of Monodelphis domestica (gray short-tailed opossum), 2590 nucleotides long. NCBI's taxonomy places the organism in Eukaryota, Metazoa, Chordata, Mammalia, Didelphimorphia, Didelphidae. The record is from RefSeq and is a predicted model, not a curated record.